RNAcentral lists this ribosomal RNA (464 nucleotides) under Vreelandella stevensii. RNAcentral describes it as "partial 16S ribosomal RNA". It matches the Rfam family "Bacterial small subunit ribosomal RNA", at positions 339 to 795 of the family's 1533-position model. The record is from RNAcentral. Lineage: Bacteria; Pseudomonadati; Pseudomonadota; Gammaproteobacteria; Oceanospirillales; Halomonadaceae.
CCACGGGCGGCAGCAGUGGGGAAUAUUGGACAAUGGGCGAAAGCCUGAUCCAGCCAUGCCGCGUGUGUGAAGAAGGCCUUCGGGUUGUAAAGCACUUUCAGUGGGGAAGAAAGCCUUGGGGCUAAUACCCUCGAGGAAGGACAUCACCCACAGAAGAAGCACCGGCUAACUCCGUGCCAGCAGCCGCGGUAAUACGGAGGGUGCGAGCGUUAAUCGGAAUUACUGGGCGUAAAGCGCGCGUAGGCGGUCUGAUAAGCCGGUUGUGAAAGCCCCGGGCUCAACCUGGGAACGGCAUCCGGAACUGUCAGGCUAGAGUGCAGGAGAGGAAGGUAGAAUUCCCGGUGUAGCGGUGAAAUGCGUAGAGAUCGGGAGGAAUACCAGUGGCGAAGGCGGCCUUCUGGACUGACACUGACGCUGAGGUGCGAAAGCGUGGGUAGCAAACAGGAUUAGAUACCCUGGUAGUC